AAAUUGAAGAGUUUGAUCAUGGCUCAGAUUGAACGCUGGCGGCAGGCCUAACACAUGCAAGUCGAACGGUAACAGGAAGCAGCUUGCUGCUUUGCUGACGAGUGGCGGACGGGUGAGUAAUGUCUGGGAAACUGCCUGAUGGAGGGGGAUAACUACUGGAAACGGUGGCUAAUACCGCAUAACGUCGCAAGACCAAAGAGGGGGACC
This 207-nucleotide ribosomal RNA is filed under the name Salmonella enterica subsp. enterica serovar Infantis. Its description in RNAcentral is "partial 16S ribosomal RNA". It matches the Rfam family "Bacterial small subunit ribosomal RNA", at positions 1 to 215 of the family's 1533-position model. Lineage: Bacteria; Pseudomonadati; Pseudomonadota; Gammaproteobacteria; Enterobacterales; Enterobacteriaceae. RNAcentral also lists the same sequence under 11 other names. The record is from RNAcentral.